Molecule: ribosomal RNA, 730 nt
Filed under: Bacillus pumilus
Lineage: Bacteria; Bacillati; Bacillota; Bacilli; Caryophanales; Bacillaceae
Description: bacterial SSU rRNA
Rfam family: Bacterial small subunit ribosomal RNA
Source: RNAcentral
UGGGGUGCUAAUACAUGCAAGUCGAGCGGACAGAAGGGAGCUUGCUCCCGGAUGUUAGCGGCGGACGGGUGAGUAACACGUGGGUAACCUGCCUGUAAGACUGGGAUAACUCCGGGAAACCGGAGCUAAUACCGGAUAGUUCCUUGAACCGCAUGGUUCAAGGAUGAAAGACGGUUUCGGCUGUCACUUACAGAUGGACCCGCGGCGCAUUAGCUAGUUGGUGAGGUAACGGCUCACCAAGGCGACGAUGCGUAGCCGACCUGAGAGGGUGAUCGGCCACACUGGGACUGAGACACGGCCCAGACUCCUACGGGAGGCAGCAGUAGGGAAUCUUCCGCAAUGGACGAAAGUCUGACGGAGCAACGCCGCGUGAGUGAUGAAGGUUUUCGGAUCGUAAAGCUCUGUUGUUAGGGAAGAACAAGUGCAAGAGUAACUGCUUGCACCUUGACGGUACCUAACCAGAAAGCCACGGCUAACUACGUGCCAGCAGCCGCGGUAAUACGUAGGUGGCAAGCGUUGUCCGGAAUUAUUGGGCGUAAAGGGCUCGCAGGCGGUUUCUUAAGUCUGAUGUGAAAGCCCCCGGCUCAACCGGGGAGGGUCAUUGGAAACUGGGAAACUUGAGUGCAGAAGAGGAGAGUGGAAUUCCACGUGUAGCGGUGAAAUGCGUAGAGAUGUGGAGGAACACCAGUGGCGAAGGCGACUCUCUGGUCUGUAACUGACGCGAGCGAAA